Molecule: non-coding RNA, 186 nt
Filed under: Deltaproteobacteria bacterium
Lineage: Bacteria; Pseudomonadati; Myxococcota; Myxococcia
Description: 6S RNA
Rfam family: 6S / SsrS RNA
About the family: E. coli 6S RNA was the first non coding RNA to be sequenced, but its function was unknown until recently.
Source: RNAcentral
UCUCCCCUGCUAUGUUCGUGAUUAGUGGAAUAUUCAGAACCAACACCAUCAAACAGGGUGCCUUCCCUGACUGACAGAUGGCAUGCCCGUCUGACGGGAAACCAAAAGCAGUUAAUUAAGACACCCACCUAUCUAGGAUAGGUUCAGAUGAAUAGACUACUUACACGGCAUUGCAGUGGGGGAGAU